AGAAAAGGUUUGAUGAAAAAAUUCCUUUAGAGGGCUGGGAUUGAGUGUGGGUGUUUCAUUGAGUCCUUCCUCUAAGAUAAGGUCCACACAUUGGCUAAUGCAUGCAGGACCAAUGACAGACAACUACCUUGUGUUACAAAGUCCACGUACACGCUAUCAUUCUACAGAGAACCACUACUCUAGACUCCAUUAUUGUGGGUACUUGAGGAAAGACUAACUCAUAAAAGUGGAUCAAUGUGACUGAACACCCAAUCCAAAAAAAUGCAGAGGAUGAUGUCCAGCAGCGCGUAUCACUGUCAUUUGACAGCUGUCUACAUGUUUUCCAGCAGUGAAAAGGCGCCUAUUUCGCUCAGCAACUGAGGUAUCUCUCUCCUCGUCCGAAAAGUAUUGUAGCGGUCUACGCUUUACAACAAUUCACUGACGUUUGGGAAAACCAAAAAGGUAGUAUAAAGUUCGAUUUCUAAAAAAAAUGUUACUGGUUUAUUUGAACCAGGUUCUGACUCAGGUCAUCAUGAUAGAAGUAGCUUCCAUAAGUAGCACUUCAAGGUUGCAGAGUUUAGUGGAAUUUCAUUAAGUUUCUCAUAUAUAAAGUAAAGCAUCAAAUAGCAGGAUGUUAAAAGGCGCGCAAAAUUAUUCGCGGGAUAGCAGCGCGCAUCCUCAAUAUAUGCCCACGUGUUUCUACCACGCCCCUCCACAAAAACACCCUCGAGCUACAUGUCAUAACAUGUCAUACAUGUUUUUACUAUGUUUUCAAAACUGCCCCGCCUUUUAUUUUAACCUGAAAACCAUCCAGUAAUUUUUCACGCACAAAUGAUUUAGUUCAUGUUCGACUCCCGUGAAUUCACCAAAAAAUAGUUUAUCACAGGAUUUACAGUGAGGAUACUCGAAGCCUKAACACUUCGAGUUUUUUUCAGGUUUAGUAUUAUUUCCUGAAAUUUCUACUGUUUCAAUCACUCUGUUAAGUAUUAAGUUCAAAUACACCAAAAGAUCAAAAUUAAUCUUAUUUCCAUAUGAUUGGCUCAAGGGAUGAUUAGCAGUAUGCAUUUUACAAAAUUUUCUUCACUGUCAAGAUACGCAUUUCGUAAUUCUUUAUAAAUACAUCUAGAAGUAACCUCUAGUACGUUUACACGAUGUUCGCAGUCUUGUUCCAGUUAGCCCAUGUGUUGAAGUCCCAGCUGGGCAAGGAAUGCAACGAAUCUGUCCCUCCUUCUCCUGAUAAUGAUUGACAGGACAUGAAACACAAGAAUAAGGCGUCGAUGAAGAAAAGAAAUGCCCAGGUGGACAGGAAGCUGAAGGAGAGACAAUGCAGAUAUGAGAAGACCUUCAAUAUAUUCUGGGAAACUCAGUCGCAUCACUAGCGUAGCGGGGGCAAGGGUGUGGCAAGGGGGCAUGUUCCCCUUCCCCCAAAGUUUGCUUUCGUCACCAAAAUUUAAUUUACACAUGCGGGAUUCAUGUGGAUUUGGCGGUAAAAAGGUACAUUGCCCCCCCCCUCCCCCUAUAAUUGAGACCUCGCUACGCCCUGAGUCGCGCAUCAUAUAUAAUGCUAGGUGUAAAAAAUUAAAAAAAAUAACUGUGCACGGUAGGAUAGCGCUGCACAACUUUGCCCAGGCGUAAGAAUCGUUAUGGAGAAUGGUGAAGGCUCCAUAAAAGAAUAAAACGGCCAACACUCUUGRUCCAAUUUAUUUCUAGUUGAAAAAAAGUUUAAUCCAUGGCAAUUAAAAUUCAUCUUACCCUUA
Actinia tenebrosa (Australian red waratah sea anemone) is the source of this 1736-nucleotide long non-coding RNA. RefSeq lists it as uncharacterized. Lineage: Eukaryota; Metazoa; Cnidaria; Anthozoa; Actiniaria; Actiniidae. The record is from RefSeq and is a predicted model, not a curated record.